This 352-nucleotide ribosomal RNA is filed under the name uncultured Alphaproteobacteria bacterium. RNAcentral describes it as "bacterial SSU rRNA". It matches the Rfam family "Bacterial small subunit ribosomal RNA", at positions 348 to 720 of the family's 1533-position model. Lineage: Bacteria; Pseudomonadati; Pseudomonadota; Alphaproteobacteria. The record is from RNAcentral.
GCAGCAGUGGGGAAUCUUAGACAAUGGGCGCAAGCCUGAUCUAGCGAUGCCGCGUGAGUGAYGAAGGUCUUAGGAUCGUAAAGCUCUUUCGCCAGGGAUGAUAAUGACAGUACCUGGUAAAGAAACCCCGGCUAACUCCGUGCCAGCAGCCGCGGUAAUACGGAGGGGGUUAGCGUUGUUCGGAAUUACUGGGCGUAAAGCGUACGUAGGCGGAUCAGAAAGUUUAGGUGAAAUCCCAGGCUCAACCCUGGAACUGCCUCCUAAACUAUUGGUCUAGAGUUCGAGAGAGGUAAGUGGAAUUCCGAGUGUAGAGGUGAAAUUCGUAGAUAUUCGGAGGAACACCAGUGCGAAG